RNAcentral lists this ribosomal RNA (493 nucleotides) under uncultured bacterium. RNAcentral describes it as "bacterial SSU rRNA". It matches the Rfam family "Bacterial small subunit ribosomal RNA", at positions 16 to 507 of the family's 1533-position model. The record is from RNAcentral.
AUCCUGGCUCAGAUUGAACGCUGGCGGCAUGCCUUACACAUGCAAGUCGAACGGCAGCACGGGCAACCUGGUGGCGAGUGGCGAACGGGUGAGUAAUGCAUCGGAACGUGCCAUUGAGUGGGGGAUAACGUAGCGAAAGUUGCGCUAAUACCGCAUAUUCUGUGAGCAGGAAAGCAGGGGACCGCAAGGCCUUGCGCUCUUUGAGCGGCCGAUGUCAGAUUAGCUAGUUGGUGAGGUAACGGCUUACCAAGGCGACGAUCUGUAGCGGGUCUGAGAGGAUGAUCCGCCACACUGGAACUGAGACACGGUCCAGACUCCUACGGGAGGCAGCAGUGGGGAAUUUUGGACAAUGGGCGCAAGCCUGAUCCAGCCAUGCCGCGUGAGUGAAGAAGGCCUUCGGGUUGUAAAGCUCUUUCGGCCGGGAAGAAAUCGCAUGGGUUAAUACCCUGUGUGGAUGACGGUACCGGAAUAAGAAGCACCGGCUAACUACGUG